GACAAACCCCUCCCGCAGCAGCAAUGGCGGCCGACCAAGUUCGGUGAUCAGCCACCGCAGCCCUCCCUAGGGUGGAGCCCCAACCUCAACCUUCCCUACCCGCUCCCGCCCACGCAGCCGACCGUGGUGUCGCUGCCAGCCCCACGCUCGGGAGGACCCGCGCUUCCACUACUACCGCACCAUCACCACGUUAGAUCUAAGGUGGCCUUCCGCUUCCCGAAUGACCAGGGCUUCGAGGGCGGUAUGAACGGUGGUGUAUUCGUAGAACAGGCUCACCACCCCAGUGCUAGCGCGGUACUCGGGGCACUCGAGAGGCACACGACACUGUUGCUCUACUCCAAUCGGCUCAUCGGCUCGCUCCCACCGUCGCUGGGCGGGCUGGUUGCUCUCCGGAUGCUCCACAUCAGCGACACCUCGGUAAUGUCGAGCCCUAGCCUUGUCGUGCUUAGCAGGCUCGCAAACCUCACCGUGUUCGAGCUCGCGGGAUCAAGAAGUGCUGUGUACGACCAAUUAUAUAAAAAGAAAUGCAGAGGCAGAAGACGAAAUAAGAAACCUUCCAAAAAGGAAAAUUUAAGCGAAAUAAUUCAGGUAAAUAAAGCUUAG
RNAcentral lists this long non-coding RNA (603 nucleotides) under Oryza sativa Indica Group (long-grained rice). RNAcentral's name for it is "lncRNA OsMH63_10G008700". Lineage: Eukaryota; Viridiplantae; Streptophyta; Magnoliopsida; Poales; Poaceae. The record is from RNAcentral.